UCGAACGGUGAACACGGAGCUUGCUCUGUGGGAUCAGUGGCGAACGGGUGAGUAACACGUGAGCAACCUGCCCCUGACUCUGGGAUAAGCGCUGGAAACGGCGUCUAAUACUGGAUACGAGUAGCGGCCGCAUGGUCAGUUACUGGAAAGAUUUUUUGGUUGGGGAUGGGCUCGCGGCCUAUCAGCUUGUUGGUGAGGUAAUGGCUCACCAAGGCGUCGACGGGUAGCCGGCCUGAGAGGGUGACCGGCCACACUGGGACUGAGACACGGCCCAGACUCCUACGGGAGGCAGCAGUGGGGAAUAUUGCACAAUGGGCGAAAGCCUGAUGCAGCAACGCCGCGUGAGGGAUGACGGCCUUCGGGUUGUAAACCUCUUUUAGCAGGGAAGAAGCGAAAGUGACGGUACCUGCAGAAAAAGCGCCGGCUAACUACGUGCCAGCAGCCGCGGUAAUACGUAGGGCGCAAGCGUUAUCCGGAAUUAUUGGGCGUAAAGAGCUCGUAGGCGGUUUGUCGCGUCUGCUGUGAAAUCCCGAGGCUCAACCUCGGGCCUGCAGUGGGUACGGGCAGACUAGAGUGCGGUAGGGGAGAUUGGAAUUCCUGGUGUAGCGGUGGAAUGCGCAGAUAUCAGGAGGAACACCGAUGGCGAAGGCAGAUCUCUGGGCCGUAACUGACGCUGAGGAGCGAA
Molecule: ribosomal RNA, 685 nt
Filed under: Microbacterium foliorum
Lineage: Bacteria; Bacillati; Actinomycetota; Actinomycetes; Micrococcales; Microbacteriaceae
Description: bacterial SSU rRNA
Rfam family: Bacterial small subunit ribosomal RNA
Source: RNAcentral